Molecule: ribosomal RNA, 327 nt
Filed under: Triticum aestivum (bread wheat)
Lineage: Eukaryota; Viridiplantae; Streptophyta; Magnoliopsida; Poales; Poaceae
Description: partial small subunit ribosomal RNA
Source: RNAcentral
AUGCCUCUGAACGGGGCCUCCUGCAGCAUCCACUUGUCACUGACCUCCCGUGCCCGGUGCUUCAGUACGCCGACGAUAACUCCUCUUAUCGUCCUCAAAGCCGAUCACAAUCAGCUCCUCAACCUCAAACUCAUUCUGGAUGACUUGUCCAACUUCACCGGGCUACCUGUCUCGUUCACGGCGGACGACCUGCUGUGCGCGACCGCGGAGAUCCUGGGGAAGAGCACCUACGGGACGGUGUACAAGGCGACCAUGGAUGGAGAACGGCAGCUACGUCGCGGUGAAGCGGCUCCGCGAGAAGAUCGCCAAGAGCCAGAAGGAGUUUGA